CUUUGACUUGAUAAUAAGUUAUGUCUAUGGUUAUUUAAAAAUAAUUUUUUGAUAGCUUUAUGAUAAGAUCCUUAUUCACGUGAGAAAAGAGGAAUCUAAAUUUUGAUUGAUUGAAAAAAUAAAAGUUCGCUGUGAAAAACGCGAGUGACAUUUCGAGUGUAAAUGACCCUAGUUGCUUACAAAGUAUUAAAAAUCAUUCAAUCUUCUGUAAAAGAUAGAGAAUGUGACUUUAUGAUAUUUUUCACUUGCGGUCUUUGCAUAUAAAUAUUUAUGUUUUAGAUUGAUGGACAUUCUUUAUUAAAAAAAAAAAAAAAAAAAAAAAGAGAAGAAAAAGGGAAAGGAAGAAAAGAAGUUGAGAUGAGAAACGACGAGGUGAAUAUUUGGCGAGAAAAGUACAGGUAGAAAUUGCGGCCGCGAAACAGGGGUAUGAUUCAGAGCCGUGAACCGUUGUAGACCAGCGUUGUCGUGCGGCGGUGUAUGUGGAGCGUACAAGGGUAAGAUAGAAGGAUUCGCAGCCGCCCCAGUUGAAGCAUUGUACCGUGGUUACCAGAGAUAAGGCAUGAAAUUAAAUUCGACGGAAUGUGGGUCGUCGUGGCAUCCCUCCUUUCGCGACCGUGCUACGGCCAACGACGAUGUCGACGCCGACGUCGCGAGCACACACCAACGUCCUCCGCGUUGUCGUUGUCGUUGUCGUUGUCGUUGUCGUCGUCGUGGUCGUUGUCGUCGUCGCCGUCGUCGUCGACCAUGUUACCGAGAUCGUGCCACUGCACUGUACAGAGUGUUUCAGAAAUAUUGAUCGAUUGAUUGUAAAUUAGUAAUAGAAAAAAGUAAUAAAUGGAAGAUACAUAUUUUUUGUAUUUUUACAUGAUAUUGUAUUAAAGUUAAAUGAAAUACGAUACAAUACAAUAAAAAUUGAAAUUAAUCUAUUAACUGGAGAAGGUGCGAUUGAUUCGUCAUUCGGAUAAUAUUUCUUUUAUUUGGAGGUAUCGUUUCAUGUAAAAAGUGUUUAAACUUCGUACUUAGGUUUCUGUUUAAAGGACAACUCGUUUAAAGGAUCAAGUGGUUGUAUUGGUAACAGUUGUAUUUUACUUCAUUUAUUUUCAUUUGCAUCGUAUUUUAGUUGUACUAUAUUGUAUUUCGUUCAAUUUUACUUUAUAUUGUGUUAUAAUUGAUUUCGCUUUAAUUGUAUCGUAUCGUAUUUCAUUUAUUCUGAAUUAGAUUAUAUUUUGUGUUUCGAGUUCUGGCUGAAUAAUAUAAUAAUGUUGCUUGAUUGAGUUGUAACUCUGAAACACCUUGUAUACCACGUGGAACGAGAAUUUACGAUUCAACGAACACGUUGAAUCGAGACGAAUUCAGCUAAACUCGAUAAAAAGAAGACGUGGAAAGAUCGGUCGGCCGAAUGUGGAGGCGUCUGCCUGUUUCUCCUCCAAGAAAAUUUGAUCGAUGAAGGAAUUGAUCUUCCCUUUUUGUUUCAUGAUUGAUAAGAUGUUUUAACCGAUGGGACUCAUACACGAGAAAUUUUAGUGUAAAAGUGCCUCGAGGUGGAUUUUGAUGGAUAGAAGAUUACAUCAUAACGUUAUCAGGAAAUUAAUAAGAAACGUCAAGAUAUUUCUCAGAAAAAUUUGAAAAUCUCUUCCGAGGAAAAGAGAAUUUUCAAAAGAUAAAUUAUAUAUUACAAAAAACUGAUAAGAACCAGCAGGAAAUUGAUUUUCAAAGAAACAAGAAAAUUGUUAACUGAUGAAGAAAAGACUUUGAGUAGUAACUUGGUACGAUAUCCUUAAGAAAUUAAUAAAAGUUUUUAAAAAUUAUUUUUUUUUUACGGAAGAUAGAAGAUUGACUGCGGGGAAAAUAUAAAACAUUACGUUACAAUAUUCCUUAGAAAAAUAAUUAAGAAAGAAAUUAAUAAAUUGGUAAUGGAUAAAAGGACUUUGUGGGGUUCGCCAAAAGUGUAAUUUAAAAUUUAAUUUCUUUUUUUUUUGUUAUACAUAUACAGAUUAUACCGUACUUGUAGUAUUCAUUAACUAUUCAUAUUAUAUCUGUAAUUUAAUUGUGCAAGGAUAAGAAUUAAUAGAAUCGGUUACGUAUUUCCGAGAAUAUCUUCUACCUCCUUUAUUAACACUUUAUGCAAAUUUCAAAUGUGAGAUAGUAAAUAACAUUCAACUAAAUAGCUGUACCAUAGCUACAUAAGAGUCGAUAUUUCGUUCUACGCUCGAUUUCCUUUAUCGCAGAUGGCGUAACCAUUUCCUGUAACAUUCUCGGGCUAUUCGAGAUGCAAGAUGCAACUAUGCGAUCGGUCCGAGCAUCUGUUGUCAGGUGGUAAACGCGAAGGAAUCGCAAUCCUCUGGGGAUAGGCCAGUUUAAUUGGAAUUGAUGCUGCAAGCCCAGCGCUACAAUCGACACAGCUCUAACGCGCGUAACUAAUUAACACGCCGGAGAUAAUCCAAGUGAAUCGCGUCUAAGCAAUAGCUCCCCCGUGAUGUAGUCGAUCGUACCACAAUAGAGGUUAUGAGAGCGUCAGAAAUCGAACGUACCAAUAUAUCUCGUGAGCUGACCUAUUCGAUCAGGAUUAUGCGUUAUGUAUUCGUGAAGAUGUUUUGAUAUUGUACGAGGGGAAAAAGCGAGCGGACACAGACGAAUCGACCAGCGACGAGGGGAAACGUUUGCGUGGAUUGGGCGGCUGGUGGAGAUAACGAGCGGCGGUACGCGGAAAGCAGGAAGUUGGCAUGAAAAAGUAGAUACAAAAUGAGCUGUAGAUGCCACGAUAAGGUGUUACGGGGAUGAUGGAAGGAAGAAAGGAAAAAUUAAACGAUGAUGAUGGCAGAGGAACAAACGAGAGCGGUGCGCUGGAAGUUACCAAGAAAAAUGGCUAGUUGUUCCUUGAAUCUGCCGGAGUAAUAGAUGACGGAGGAUUAAAUCCCAAGACUAUCCGGUUUAUCUUUUUGCUAGAAUUUGUUUUAUUAAAAUGUUUCGUGACACUGGAUGGCAUUCGAUUUCCCGGAAGGGUCUAAUGGCGUGUGUUUCACGAUCCGCAUGGAUAAUUGCGUGAAAACGAGCCGAGCCAAACCACCACG
This is a long non-coding RNA of Bombus pascuorum, 3071 nucleotides long. RefSeq lists it as uncharacterized. The transcript has 4 exons. NCBI's taxonomy places the organism in Eukaryota, Metazoa, Arthropoda, Insecta, Hymenoptera, Apidae. The record is from RefSeq and is a predicted model, not a curated record.